Molecule: long non-coding RNA, 1713 nt
Organism: Diorhabda carinulata
Lineage: Eukaryota; Metazoa; Arthropoda; Insecta; Coleoptera; Chrysomelidae
Exons: 2
Source: RefSeq, a predicted model, not a curated record
GAACCACAGGCACCACGUUAGCCCAAAUACAGAACAAAGAAGGUUAAUUGAACUCAUUUCCUACUGGUUUCCCUUUCACCCUUUAUAUUUGAAGUUAGUGUCUUCAGUUUAACCAUGAAUAUCAAAACUGAAAAGAAUGCCGAUGGGGCAAUAAUUUAUUAUAAUUUUUUCGUUUACCUAACCUAACUACAUCCUGAUACUAUUAUGAAGGAAGUAGUAUUAGUUGGGUAUCCGCAAGGAAAUGCUUCUGGUUCUGAGGUUGUCUUAAAACUGCCAGGUAUUAGAGCUCAAAACUACAAUGUUAUGAAAUCCAAACUGGUUUAGGAAUGCUUGGACGAAAUGAAACAUUACGGAACUUUAAAGUACUACACCUAGAAGACGAUGUUUGGCAGCUAGAGUCAUCCCACAUCCCCCUAAACUCGACUAAUCUGUCAAACUCUCUAAUAAAAGAGAUUUGUAACGAAGAGAAUUUUGGGGGGAUAGUACACAACUAUUCCACGUCCCUUCCAAGUUUCCCGCAGUUGUUUAAUCCUGCGAUUGUCGAUAAGUACUUCUUCUUCUCCUAUAUCCUUAUAGUUUCACCGUUAUCCUCGCUGUUGAUUCCAACAGAAAGUGAUCACUACCAAUUUCAGCUCUGCUUUUGACUCUACCGUCAAUUAUGCCUAUUCUGUUUAUUUUCUCCACUGUAACGUAGUCAAUGGAUGGAUUUUUGGAAUUGAUGUUAGGGAAAGGAAGGGCAAGACAAGGCACUUAAAGUUUGAAGUUCAAUGAAACUAAAAAAAUCGCGUUUAUAUUUUUUAUUUUAAUAAUCAUCUUUGGUUAUCAGUAUUUCAAAAUUCAGUCUAAUUAGGAACACACUUGUAAAGUAGAAAAAGUCUUACCCCCUUGCUCGGCUUAGAUGGGGUACUCUUAAGUGCAAGAUGGGGUAGUCUAAAAGGUAAGAUGGGGUUUUGCAAAAGCAUUCAAUUAUUUUUGCUGACAAAAUUCACACGUUAACGUCACAUCUUCAUCUUCGAAAUCUAUCCCAGCACAGCUACGGGAGCCCCCAUUUGCCGAAUGCGGAACAUGCAGCCCUUCAUUUGACUCCAAAUAACAACUUUCACAAUACAAACACGGAGUAUUUUCAACUUCAUUAUCGCUACUCUCAUUUGACGAGUUAACCUUCGAUAGUGUUUUCUUUUUGGUCACUUUUCUUCGUUAACCGUUGAUUUUUUUCAAUUUUCUAAAGUUCUUCUUUCUUUAUCGUAUCUUCCUCUGAUAGUUUCUUUCUUUUAAUCGUCUCUUCUUUAUAUAGCGAUGAAGUAAUGAUUGCGGUUCUAACAACGUCGGAAGCUUUGCGUGUUACUGGAAAGAGCAUCAUUUGCAAGGAACUGGCUACAAGAAAUAUGUUAUCAGACCAACUGGAACAACCAGGUUUAGUUAUAAGUGACUUAUUAACAACAAAGUGGUCAGCUGAAGUCUUGAAAUCGGCUCUUCUUCCACCUCAGCAAGUGAUAUUGUUUCAGUGGAGAUCGCAAGAGGAACAUCUCUCGUAAACGAAGCAACAGUCACUUCUUGAUCUAUUAUAUAGUACCUCCUCUCGAAUAGUAUCAUAAGUCAAAAAAACAAACCAUCGAAUAAUCGAAAUUAAUCCUAGCUUUAUUUGGAAUAAUGGAAACUAUUUACAUGACUUAAUUAUAGCACCAAUAGUACAAUAAAAGAGUUUUCGAGUUA